ACCUUUCCUGCCAACCGAUCCAUCUGGACACAUCCGAUGGCGUCUGCCUGGUAGAGGGGGACUUUACUGGAAACGGAGCUAAUACCGCAUGACCUCGAAAGAGCAAAGAGGGGGAUCUUCGGACCUCACGCCAUCGGAUGUGCAAGAUGGGAUUAGCUAGUAGGUGAGGUAAUGGCUCUUUCCGCUGACGAUCCCUAGCUGGUCUGAGAGGAUGCCGGCCACGCUGGAACUGACCAGAUCCACUCUCAACGGGAGGCAGCAGUGGGGAAUAUUGCACAAUGGGCGCAAGCCUGAUGCAGCCAUGCCGCGUGUGUGAAGAAGGCCUUAGGGUUGUAAAGCACUUUCAGCGAGGAGGAAGGCAUCAUACUUAAUACGUGUGGUGAUUGACGUUACUCGCAGAAGAAGCACGGGGUAACUCCGUGCCAGCAGCCGCGGUAAUACGGAGGGUGCAAGCGUUAAUCGGAAUUACUGGGGGGAAGCGCACGCAGGCGGUUUGUUAAUCCGAUGUGAAAUCCCCGCGCUUAACGUGGAACUGCAUUUUAAACUGGCAGCUAGAGUCUUGGAGAGGGGGGAGAAUUCCCGGUGUAGCGGUGAAAUGCGAGAGAUCUGGAGGAUACCGGUGGCGAAGCGGCCCCCUGGACAAACUGACGCUCAGGUGCAAAGCG
RNAcentral lists this ribosomal RNA (665 nucleotides) under Rahnella sp. SS78. RNAcentral describes it as "bacterial SSU rRNA". It matches the Rfam family "Bacterial small subunit ribosomal RNA", at positions 78 to 761 of the family's 1533-position model. The record is from RNAcentral. Lineage: Bacteria; Pseudomonadati; Pseudomonadota; Gammaproteobacteria; Enterobacterales; Yersiniaceae.